UACGGGGGGGGCAAGCGUUGUUCGGAAUUACUGGGCGUAAAGGGCUCGUAGGCGGCCAACUAAGUCGGACGUGAAAUCCCUCGGCUCAACCUGGGAACUGCGUCUGAUACUGGAUGGCUUGAAUCCGGGAGAGGGAUGCAGAAUUCCAGGUGUAGCGGUGAAAUGCGUAGAUAUCUGGAGGAAUACCGGUGGCGAAGGCGGCAUCCUGGACCGGCAUUGACGCUGAGGAGCGAAAGCCAGGGGAGCAAACGGG
RNAcentral lists this ribosomal RNA (253 nucleotides) under uncultured bacterium. RNAcentral's name for it is "partial 16S ribosomal RNA". It matches the Rfam family "Bacterial small subunit ribosomal RNA", at positions 524 to 776 of the family's 1533-position model. The record is from RNAcentral.